GAACCGUACAAACGUUAUUCGGGAAUCACUGGGGCUUAAAGGGUGCGUAGGCGGUCUGGUAAGUUGGGGGGUGUGAAAUCCCCUCGGGCUCAACCGAGGGAAUUGCGCUCAAAACUGCCAGGCUUGAGGGAGACAGAGGCAAGCGGAACUCAGGGUGGAGCGGUGAAAUGCGUUGAUAUCCUGGGGAACACCAGUUGCGAAGGCGGCUUGCUGGGUCUCUUCUGACGCUGAGGCACGAAAGCUAGGGGAGCGAACGGGAUUAGAUACCCCGGUAGUCCUAGCUGUAAACGUUGAGCACUUGGUUGGAGGCUCCUCCAUAGGCUUCCUGCCGUAGCGAAAGUGUUAAGUGCUCCGCCUGGGGAGUAUGGUCGCAAAGGCUG
RNAcentral lists this ribosomal RNA (380 nucleotides) under uncultured organism. RNAcentral's name for it is "partial 16S ribosomal RNA". It matches the Rfam family "Bacterial small subunit ribosomal RNA", at positions 527 to 896 of the family's 1533-position model. The record is from RNAcentral.